Python bivittatus (Burmese python) is the source of this 227-nucleotide non-coding RNA. Lineage: Eukaryota; Metazoa; Chordata; Lepidosauria; Squamata; Pythonidae. The record is from RefSeq and is a predicted model, not a curated record.
CAAAGAGAGGAAUGAUUCUCUGGCCAAAGAUCCUGCACUCCUGCGCCUACCUCUCAAGACUGCUGAGCCGCAUAAACAGAUGGGGAAUUUAACUCAACACUUGGCGCUAGUCGGAUUGCAGUGUGGCACACCGCAAGAAGACGAGCAAAAUGGUGAAGCUGAGGCCAAGGAAGCUUGUGCCUGGCUGCGAGCCGCUGGAUUUCCUCAAUAUGUACAAAUGUAUGAAG